This 254-nucleotide ribosomal RNA is filed under the name uncultured bacterium. Its description in RNAcentral is "partial 16S ribosomal RNA". It matches the Rfam family "Bacterial small subunit ribosomal RNA", at positions 524 to 776 of the family's 1533-position model. The record is from RNAcentral.
UACGUAGGGCGCAAGCGUUGUCCGGAAUUAUUGGGCGUAAAGAGCUCGUAGGCGGCCUGUUACGUCUGCUGUGAAAUCCCGGGGCUUAACCCCGGGCGUGCAGUGGAUACGGGCAGGCUGGAGGCAGGCAGGGGAGAACGGAAUUCCCGGUGUAGCGGUGAAAUGCGGCAGAUAUCGGGAGGAACACCGGUGGCGAAGGCGGUUCUCUGGGCCUGUACUGACGCUGAGGAGCGAAAGCGUGGGGAGCGAACAGG